AGUGAACGCUGGCGGUAGGCCUAACACAUGCAAGUCGAACGGCAGCACAGUAAGAGCUUGCUCUUACGGGUGGCGAGUGGCGGACGGGUGAGGAAUACAUCGGAAUCUACUUUUUCGUGGGGGAUAACGUAGGGAAACUUACGCUAAUACCGCAUACGACCUACGGGUGAAAGCAGGGGAUCUUCGGACCUUGCGCGAUUGAAUGAGCCGAUGUCGGAUUAGCUAGUUGGCGGGGUAAAGGCCCACCAAGGCGACGAUCCGUAGCUGGUCUGAGAGGAUGAUCAGCCACACUGGAACUGAGACACGGUCCAGACUCCUACGGGAGGCAGCAGUGGGGAAUAUUGGACAAUGGGCGCAAGCCUGAUCCAGCCAUACCGCGUGGGUGAAGAGGGCCUUCGGGUUGUAAAGCCCUUUUGUUGGGAAAGAAAAGCAGCAGGUUAAUACCCCGCUGUUCCGACGGUACCCAAAGAAUAAGCACCGGCUAACUUCGUG
Molecule: ribosomal RNA, 492 nt
Filed under: uncultured bacterium
Lineage: Bacteria
Description: partial 16S ribosomal RNA
Rfam family: Bacterial small subunit ribosomal RNA
Source: RNAcentral